Molecule: small RNA, 236 nt
Filed under: Arabidopsis thaliana (thale cress)
Lineage: Eukaryota; Viridiplantae; Streptophyta; Magnoliopsida; Brassicales; Brassicaceae
Description: ATSL202380
Source: RNAcentral
GAGCAUGGAGGCAAAGGCGCAGACUUUGCAUCACCCUUUUUACUCGAUCCCCAAGAUCGAGGAAUCGUCUGAACCGCCUCAAGUCUCUUGUCUUCUAGUGAAUCUAGGGUUUUCAACAUUUUAGUAUAAAUAGAUCAAUUUGGGGUUUGUCCAAAGGAUCUAGCUUUUAUCUCUUAGUUUUUCUUUGUGUUCUUGAAUCUUCAAAACUUAAUUACUCUUAAUCUAUUUUGUUUUUU